GACGGAGGGUGCUAGCGUUGUUCGGAAUCACUGGGCGUAAAGGGCGCGUAGGCGGCCUUUGGUGUCGGAUGUGAAAGCCCGGGGCUCAACCCCGGAGGUGCAUCCGAAACUCGAAGGCUGGAGGCCGGAAGAGGAGGGUGGAAUACCCAGUGUAGAGGUGAAAUUCGUAGAUAUUGGGUGGAACACCGGUGGCGAAAGCGGCUCUCUGGUCCGGUCCUGACGCUGAGGCGCGAAAGCGUGGGGAGCAAACAGG
Molecule: ribosomal RNA, 253 nt
Filed under: uncultured bacterium
Lineage: Bacteria
Description: partial 16S ribosomal RNA
Rfam family: Bacterial small subunit ribosomal RNA
Source: RNAcentral